RNAcentral lists this non-coding RNA (24 nucleotides) under Arabidopsis thaliana (thale cress). Lineage: Eukaryota; Viridiplantae; Streptophyta; Magnoliopsida; Brassicales; Brassicaceae. The record is from RNAcentral.
GGCCUUCACUACCACAUGAUGGAU